This 169-nucleotide ribosomal RNA is filed under the name Porostereum spadiceum. RNAcentral describes it as "partial large subunit ribosomal RNA". It matches the Rfam family "Eukaryotic large subunit ribosomal RNA", at positions 99 to 261 of the family's 3401-position model. The record is from RNAcentral. Lineage: Eukaryota; Fungi; Basidiomycota; Agaricomycetes; Polyporales; Phanerochaetaceae.
CGGGAAAAGCUCAAAUUUAAAAUCUGGCGGUCUUCGGCCGUCCGAGUUGUAAUCUGGAGAAGCGUCUUCCGCGCUGGACCGUGUACAAGUCUCUUGGAACAGAGCGUCGUAGAGGGUGAGAAUCCCGUCUUUGACACGGACUACCAGUGCUUUGUGAUGCGCUCUCGAU